CAGAGGGGACCCUGACCUUCCUGUGAAGUGUCAUGAGCCCAUAAGGACAGUUGGCUGAUGGCCUGGGCACCUGUCCAGCUACAAUCUCCAUGCUGCAUCUUAGGAGCAAGAGAAAUUGAGAGGAGAUUCAGGGUUUGUGUUUGUGGCUUAGGGGGAUGGGACACAGCAGGAGGCAGGGGCUCAGCAGCCAGAAGCCCUUGGUUAACAGGAAAUGGUCUGUGAAGAAUUGUGCUGGGAAUUGCAUUGAAUCUGUAGAUUACUGACUGACCCUUUCUUCCCAUCAACUCCUUCUGGCUUCACUUUUAUCCCGCUGGAACUUGCCUGUCACUGCCUGCCACCAUUGAUGUCUCGUCCCCGAAUGCUGCAGAAGGGGAAAACAUUCAUCUCCUUGUUCAUAAUCUGCCAGAGAACCUUGGAACCCUUUCCUGGUGUGGCAAAGAACUGAGGACCAGGGUUGCCUGCUCUCUCUGGGAUGAAGGAACUGGCUUGGAGUUCCUUGGCCCCUGAGGAACGAGGAGGUUACUGAGCACAGGCGGAGAGCUGGUACCCUAGCAGAAUCUGUGGAACAGUUGGUGAUGUGAUCCAAACUCCUUCUGUCUUUCAAUCAUUGUGCACAGAUUUGAUUUAAUAAAAGUCUCCACACCACACAGUGAGCAGCAAGGCUGAGAAGUGUCUGUGCCCUGAGAGAGAGGCAGCUCACCCCAAGGAUGGCCUCUGCUGAGUCCUGACCUCGGUCUGUCAGAACCAGAGAAGGAACCACUGGCUUCUCAACGUGAUCUUUGUGACAUAAAAAUCCCCGUUGUUCUUCUGGGCUGCCCUGAGUUUACACCCAACAUGCAGAGAUAUCUCCCAGGCCUAGGAUGGGACUAAGUGGAUGACGACUGCGUGAAGGAACUUAACCAUGAUCACAGAGUUCGGUUCCAGGUCAGGGGCCCAGGAGCAAUUGUGUCAGAAGUGUGACAUCCUGUGUGUGGGGGAGGAAGUGACCUGUGAUCUGGAAGGAGGAUGUGG
RNAcentral lists this long non-coding RNA (1011 nucleotides) under Cricetulus griseus (Chinese hamster). RNAcentral's name for it is "lncRNA (ENSCGRG00015037625.1)". The record is from RNAcentral. Lineage: Eukaryota; Metazoa; Chordata; Mammalia; Rodentia; Cricetidae.